GGGGAUGCGGGGAACGCGGCAGCGGUAAGCGGUGGCGGGCAAGCGUGUGCCGGAUUUAUGGGGGUGAAAGGGGGCGCAGAGGGUGAUGCAAUUCUGGAGUGAAACCCCACAGCUAAACUGUGGGCUUGCUUUGGAAACUGUGUAACUAGAGUACUGGAGAGGUAAGCGGAAUUCCUAGUGUAGCGGUGAAAUGCGUAGAUAUUAGGAGGAACACCGGUGGCGAAGGCGGCUUACUGGACAGCAACUGACGUUGAGGCUCGAAGGCGUGGGGAGCAAACAGGAUUAGAUACCCGUGUAGUC
This 300-nucleotide ribosomal RNA is filed under the name uncultured Meiothermus sp. RNAcentral's name for it is "bacterial SSU rRNA". It matches the Rfam family "Bacterial small subunit ribosomal RNA", at positions 494 to 795 of the family's 1533-position model. Lineage: Bacteria; Thermotogati; Deinococcota; Deinococci; Thermales; Thermaceae. The record is from RNAcentral.